This 242-nucleotide unclassified non-coding RNA is filed under the name plant metagenome. Its description in RNAcentral is "partial contains small subunit ribosomal RNA, internal transcribed spacer 1, and 5.8S ribosomal RNA". The record is from RNAcentral.
UCUCCGUUGGUAAACCAGCGGAGGGAUCAUUACAGAGUUUUCACAACUCCCAGCCCUUGCGAACCGUACCCAUUCUGUUCUCGUUGCUUCCGGCGGGGGGGACGGGGGGGCCCGAAACGGCCUCCCCGCCCCGCCCGCCGGGGGCGGCGGGCCCUACGCACCUUUAUAUCUCAACCACCAGAAACCGUCUGAGAAAACAAACAAAAUAAUUAAAACUUUCAACAACGGAUCUCUUGGCUCUG